GUGUUGUACUGUGAUGCUCCGUUUGAAGUAAUGAUACGGUACGCUUUUCUUCUUCCUCAGGUCCAUACUGUAGGGCCAGAAGCCGUAUAGAUGUGUCUCCUCACACAUAGACAGGGCAAAGGUGGUCACCAUCAGGCCUAAAGAAAUCGUUAAUCCUUCGAAGGAAGUCCGGAUGAGACCAUCGCACGACACUGCCAUUCCCACUGUCCCGCACCAGGAACAUGGCUCUGUAUGCGGUUUUUCUGUACAGUGGAUUGUGGAAGGGGUGUGUGUAGAAGGUCGCAUUUGUCCUGUAGGCAAGCACGCUCCGCAGAAACAGUUUCUGUUCAUCCUCGUCGGUCAGACCUGAGUUGUCACUGAAGACUGGUAGGAUGCGAAGGUUAAGCUGGUCUGCGUCCAAGCUCCUUCCGUAGACUGGCAGGAAGUGCAUGCUGGUACAUGGCCAAUGUCAGGGACCCGAGGAUCGCACGUGAUAAUGGAUGAGAAUGGAGCGUGUAAUAUGUGAUAUGGGCAUGUUUGUGCUAUAUUUUGUAUCAAGAAUUAUUUUACAUGUAAAUGCUUUGCUUGUCCGUCUAUACAAUCAUUAUCAUCGAUCAGAUUAAUAGUAAA
This is a long non-coding RNA of Branchiostoma floridae (Florida lancelet), 609 nucleotides long. RefSeq lists it as uncharacterized. The record is from RefSeq and is a predicted model, not a curated record. NCBI's taxonomy places the organism in Eukaryota, Metazoa, Chordata, Leptocardii, Amphioxiformes, Branchiostomatidae. The transcript is spliced from 3 exons.